This 490-nucleotide ribosomal RNA is filed under the name uncultured bacterium. RNAcentral's name for it is "partial 16S ribosomal RNA". It matches the Rfam family "Bacterial small subunit ribosomal RNA", at positions 30 to 507 of the family's 1533-position model. The record is from RNAcentral.
AUUGAACGCUGGCGGCAGGCCUAACACAUGCAAGUCGAACGGUAACAGGAAGCAACUUGCUGCUUUGCUGACGAGUGGCGGACGGGUGAGUAAUGUCUGGGAAACUGCCCGAUGGAGGGGGAUAACUACUGGAAACGGUAGCUAAUACCGCAUAACGUCGCAAGACCAAAGAGGGGGACCUUAGGGCCUCUUGCCAUCGGAUGUGCCCAGAUGGGAUUAGCUAGUAGGUGGGGUAACGGCUCACCUAGGCGACGAUCCCUAGCUGGUCUGAGAGGAUGACCAGCCACACUGGAACUGAGACACGGUCCAGACUCCUACGGGAGGCAGCAGUGGGGAAUAUUGCACAAUGGGCGCAAGCCUGAUGCAGCCAUGCCGGGUGUAUGAAGAAGGCCUUCGGGUUGUAAAGUACUUUCAGCGGGGAGGAAGGGAGUAAAGUUAAUACCUUUGCUCAUUGACGUUACCCGCAGAAGAAGCACCGGCUAACUCCGUG